AGAGUUUGAUCCUGGCUCAGGAUGAACGCUAGCGGCAGGCUUAACACAUGCAAGUCGAGGGGUAGAAGGCUUCGGCCUUUGAGACCGGCGCACGGGUGCGUAACGCGUAUGCAAUCUGCCUUACACUAAGGGAUAGCCCAGAGAAAUUUGGAUUAAUACCUUAUAGUAUAUAUGAUGUGGCAUCACAUUAAUAUUAAAGAUUUAUCGGUGUAAGAUGAGCAUGCGUCCCAUUAGCUAGUUGGUAUGGUAACGGCAUACCAAGGCAAUGAUGGGUAGGGGUCCUGAGAGGGAGAUCCCCCACACUGGUACUGAGACACGGACCAGACUCCUACGGGAGGCAGCAGUGAGGAAUAUUGGUCAAUGGGCGCAAGCCUGAACCAGCCAUGCCGCGUGCAGGAUGAAGCAUCUAUGGUGUGUAAACUGCUUUUAUACAGGAAGAAACCCCUUUACGUGUAGAGGAUUGACGGUACUGUAGGAAUAAGGACCGGCUAACUCCGUGCCAGCAGCCGCGGUAAUACGGAGGGUCCAAGCGUUAUCCGGAAUCAUUGGGUUUAAAGGGUCCGUAGGCGGUUUUGUAAGUCAGUGGUGAAAUCCGGCAGCUUAACUGUCGAACUGCCAUUGAUACUGCAGGACUUGAAUUACUGUGAAGUAACUAGAAUAUGUAGUGUAGCGGUGAAAUGCUUAGAUAUUACAUGGAAUACCAAUUGCGAAGGCAGGUUACUAACAUUAUAUUGACGCUGAUGGACGAAAGCGUGGGUAGCGAACAGGAUUAGAUACCCUAGUAGUCC
Molecule: ribosomal RNA, 788 nt
Filed under: uncultured bacterium
Lineage: Bacteria
Description: bacterial SSU rRNA
Rfam family: Bacterial small subunit ribosomal RNA
Source: RNAcentral